This 248-nucleotide ribosomal RNA is filed under the name uncultured bacterium. RNAcentral describes it as "partial 16S ribosomal RNA". It matches the Rfam family "Bacterial small subunit ribosomal RNA", at positions 523 to 769 of the family's 1533-position model. The record is from RNAcentral.
AUACGUAGGUGGCAAGCGUUGUCCGGAUUUACUGGGUGUAAAGGGCGUGUAAGGCGGGAGAUCAAGUCAGAUGUGAAAUACCGGGGCUCAACCCCGGGGCUGCAUUUGAAACUGAUUUUCUUGAGUGCUGGAGAGGAAAGCGGAAUUCCUAGUGUAGCGGUGAAAUGCGUAGAUAUUAGGAGGAACACCAGUGGCGAAGGCGGCUUUCUGGACAGUAACUGACGCUGAGGCGCGAAAGCGUGGGGAGC